This 268-nucleotide ribosomal RNA is filed under the name uncultured bacterium. RNAcentral's name for it is "partial 16S ribosomal RNA". It matches the Rfam family "Bacterial small subunit ribosomal RNA", at positions 524 to 785 of the family's 1533-position model. The record is from RNAcentral.
UACGUAGGGGGCGAGCGUUGUCCGGAAUCAUUGGGCGUAAAGAGCGUGUAGGUGGCUUGGAAAGUCUUACGUGAAAGCCUGCGGCUCAACCCGCAGAAGUGCGUGGGAAACUCCUCGCUAGAGUCCGGAAGAGGAGAGCGGGAAUCCUGGUGUAGCGGCGGAAUGCGCAGAUAUCAGGAGGGAAACACCCCGUGGCGAAGGCGGGCUCUCUGGGACGGGUACUGACACUGAGACGCGAAAAGCGUGGGGAGCGAACAGGAUUUUAGAU